GACAGAGGGUGCGAACGUUGUUCGGAAUUACUGGGCGUAAAGCGCGUGUAGGCGGCUAUGUAAGUCGGGCGUGAAAUCCCACGGCUCAACCGUGGAAGUGCACCCGAAACUGCGUAGCUAGAGUCCUGGAGAGGAAGGUGGAAUGCUUGGUGUAGAGGUGAAAUUCGUAGAUAUCAAGCGGAACACCGGUGGCGAAGGCGGCCUUCUGGACAGUGACUGACGCUGAGACGCGAAAGCGUGGGGAGCAAACAGG
RNAcentral lists this ribosomal RNA (253 nucleotides) under uncultured bacterium. RNAcentral describes it as "partial 16S ribosomal RNA". It matches the Rfam family "Bacterial small subunit ribosomal RNA", at positions 524 to 776 of the family's 1533-position model. The record is from RNAcentral.